This 2188-nucleotide ribosomal RNA is filed under the name human gut metagenome. RNAcentral describes it as "bacterial LSU rRNA". It matches the Rfam family "Bacterial large subunit ribosomal RNA", at positions 208 to 2559 of the family's 2925-position model. The record is from RNAcentral.
ACCUGUAGGAAAGGAAAUCAACCGAGACUCCGAAAGUAGUGGCGAGCGAAAUCGGACCAGCCGAUGGAUUUAUUAAUAAGAAUUGGAAGCAUCUGGAAAGUUGCACCAAAGAAGGUGAUAGUCCUGUACAAGUAGAAAGUUAAUAAAUUCUUGAGUAAGGCGGAGCACGAGAAAUUCUGUCUGAAAAUGGGGAGACCACUCUCCAAGGCUAAGUACUACUGAUUGACCGAUAGUGAACAAGUACCGUGAGGGAAAGGUGAAAAGCACCCCUAUAAGGGGAGUGAAAGAGAACCUGAAACCGAAUGCUUACAAGCAGUCGGAGGGUCUUUAAGGCCUGACGGCGUACCUUUUGUAUAAUGGGUCAGCGACUUAGUGUAUGUAGCAAGCUUAAGCCGAUAGGUGUAGGCGUAGCGAAAGCGAGUUUUAAUAGAGCGAUAAGUUACAUGCAUUAGACCCGAAACCGAGUGAUCUAGCCAUGAGCAGGUUGAAGGUUGGGUAACACCAACUGGAGGACCGCACCCAUAUCUGUUGAAAAAGAUAGGGAUGACUUGUGGCUAGGGGUGAAAGGCCAAUCAAACUCGGAAAUAGCUGGUUCUCCGCGAAAACUAUUUAGGUAGUGCGGUGAGCGGACACCUUGAGGGGUAGAGCACUGAAAGAGCUAAGGGGGAGCGAUCCUUACUAAACUUUAUCAAACUCCGAAUACUCAAGAGUGAUACUCACCAGACAGACAUUAGGUGCUAAGGUCUAGUGUCGAGAGGGAAAGAGCCCAGACCGUCAAUUAAGGUCCCAAAAUUAUGGCUAAGUGGUAAAGGAAGUGAAUUGUCCAAAACAGUCAGGAGGUUGGCUUAGAAGCAGCCAUCCUUUAAAGAAAGCGUAAUAGCUCACUGAUCUAAACAAGACGAUUUGCGCCGAAGAUGUAACGGGGCUAAAGCCAUAUACCGAAAUUACGGAUUUACACGUAAGUGUAAGUGGUAGCGGAGCGUUCUGUAGGCCUGCGAAGGUGAACCGUAAGGUUUGCUGGAGGUAUCAGAAGUGAGAAUGCUGACAUGAGUAGCGAAAAGAAGAGUGAGAGACUCUUCCGCUGAAAGUCCAAGGUUUCCUGCGUAAAGCUAAUCUGCGCAGGGUUAGUCGGCCCCUAAGGCGAGGCAGAGAUGCGUAGUCGAUGGGAAUCAGGUUAAUAUUCCUGAACCAACUAGGAAGUGACGGAUUCAGUAAAUUGUAUGUCCUUAUUGGAUUGGAUAUGCAGUGAAUGAGUUCCAGGAAAUAGCCCUAGUAUAGACCGUACCCCAAACCGACACAGGUGGACAGGUAGAGAAUACCAAAGCGCUUGAGAGAACUAUGUUGAAGGAACUAGGCAAAAUACUUGCGUAACUUCGGGAUAAGCAAGCCCCAUUUUAAGGCAACUUAAGGUGGGGGGCACAUACUAGGGGGUAGCGACUGUUUACUAAAAACACAGGACUCUGCUAAAUUGAAAGAUGAAGUAUAGGGUCUGACGCCUGCCCGGUGCUGGAAGGUUAAGGAGAGAUGUGAGAGCAUUGAACUGAAGCCCCAGUAAACGGCGGCCGUAACUAUAACGGUCCUAAGGUAGCGAAAUUCCUUGUCGGGUAAGUUCCGACCUGCACGAAUGGCGUAACGACUUCCCCGCUGUCUCCAACAUAGACUCAGCGAAAUUGAAUUCUGAGUUAAGAUGCUCAGUACCCGCGGUUAGACGGAAAGACCCCGUGAACCUUUACUAUAGCUUUGCAGUGGUAUUAGGUGACAAAUGUGUAGGAUAGGUGGGAUGCUAUGAAGUUAUGACGCCAGUUGUAAUGGAGCAGACGUUGAAAUACCACCCUUUUGUUAUUUGAUAUCUAACCUGCUUCCCUGAACGGGAAGAGGGACCCUGCAUGGUGGGUAGUUUGACUGGGGCGGUCGCCUCCCAAAGAGUAACGGAGGCGCGCAAAGGUUGGCUCAGACUGGUCGGAAAUCAGUCGUCGAGUGCAAUGGCAUAAGCCAGCCUGACUGCGAGAGAGACAUUUCGAGCAGAGACGAAAGUCGGUCAUAGUGAUCCGGUGGUCCCGAGUGGAAGGGCCAUCGCUCAACGGAUAAAAGGUACUCCGGGGAUAACAGGCUGAUUCCGCCCAAGAGUUCACAUCGACGGCGGAGUUUGGCACCUCGAUGUCGGCUCAUCACAUCCUGGGGCUGGAGA